GCCUUCGUGGUGUAGUGGUCAGCACGCUCGACGCGUAACCGAGAGGUCCGUGGUUCGAAUCCCGGCGAGGGCA
This 73-nucleotide transfer RNA is filed under the name Stegodyphus mimosarum. It matches the Rfam family "tRNA". Rfam says of the family: Transfer RNA (tRNA) molecules are approximately 80 nucleotides in length. Their secondary structure includes four short double-helical elements and three loops (D, anti-codon, and T loops). Lineage: Eukaryota; Metazoa; Arthropoda; Arachnida; Araneae; Eresidae. The record is from Rfam by way of RNAcentral.